RNAcentral lists this unclassified non-coding RNA (279 nucleotides) under plant metagenome. RNAcentral describes it as "partial contains small subunit ribosomal RNA, internal transcribed spacer 1, and 5.8S ribosomal RNA". The record is from RNAcentral.
UUUCCGUAGGUGAACCUGCGGAAGGAUCAUUAUUGUAUAACCGAGGUGUGAGGGCUGUGGCUUACCCGAAAGGGUGUGCACGCCCGAUCGCUCUCACACUCACCCAUCACAUCCCUAUGUGCACCACCGCGUGGGUUCCAUCUUUGCUUGUUCUGAGGGGGGCUAACGUUUUCACUUAAACUUAGUAUUCAUUGUAGUUUGUAUUUUUUGUGUUUGCGCUGCCGUAAUCUAUACAACUUUUAACAACGGGUCUCUUUUCUCUCGCACUGAUGAAGAAAA